Molecule: unclassified non-coding RNA, 9670 nt
Filed under: Haliotis rubra (blacklip abalone)
Lineage: Eukaryota; Metazoa; Mollusca; Gastropoda; Lepetellida; Haliotidae
Description: rho guanine nucleotide exchange factor 9-like, transcript variant X1
Source: RNAcentral
GGAUAGUAAUCGAAGUAGUUCUGAGAGGGAACAUUUUCUGAAAGAUGGGUCAUUAUCUCAAAUAAGCAAGAUGAAUUCUUUGAAAGAUGCAGUUUCUGAAAAGGAUGGAGUUCAAAGUGACAACAAGGUGAUUAGGCAAAUAAAGAGGGACAAGACAGGUGAGAAACCUUUAAGAAACCCUGUAUCCACUUCAAAUAAACCUGAUUUGACAGUGAACACAAAGAAAAACUGUGCCAAACCAAAGACUGUACAUAAUUCAAAUAUCAAAGGCACUUGGAAAAAGAAAAAGGACUCUGCUACUUGUGUCAGUGAGAGAGAACCUGUUGCAUUUGACUCAGUUCAAAGAGGAGGGUCAUUGUCCCCAACACUGUUUGUCACAUCAACAGAAUCAAAAUCUGGAAAGCCUAAACAAAAAGGCCUAUCAGCACGUGAUCCAAGAAAUAUUAGAAUGGAAAGGGUUCCUAGCAGAGUGACAAUAAGCAGUGUCUCAGCAAGUCAAAAGAAAGUCACUGAAAUUAAAUCUGUUAAAUCUGUGUGUGAAGAUCCAAAAGAAAAAACCAAGGCAAUGAAGAAAACAUCUCCUUCAAGCCUGAAGAAAACUGAAAUGCAAAGUGCAAAAAUCAGCCUAAGACCCAAAGAACAAGUGGGAAGUAAAGUUUCAAGCUCAAAUAUACCUCAGCAUGAGCGAAGUUGUUCUAACUCACCACGGUCAUCUGUUGUGGAUGAUGAUACAGAUAGUGUUGUAAGUUUUAGUUCAGCCACUUCCAAAACAAACAAACCUACUUCAAAACUGCCAAGGGCUUCAAGAUUGCCAAGCACUACUCAUGAUAAAGGCAAAGGGCCUACUAAGGGUGGUAUACCUACUGAUAAAACAGAGAAAUCAGCAAAGACUGGCACUACUUUAUUGACAUUGUCAGGUGUUGCACUGAAGAAAGCAGAAACAUCAAAAAGAAAUAUUCGUCCUAAGAAAGACAAUUGCAGUGAAAAUAUUCUGAACUACAAGGAUGCUGUCUGUGAUGUCCAAAGUGAUUCCAAGCCAACAUUGAAGAAGAAGAGCUUGAAAGAAAACAUAAAUCGCAAACAACGUGAGUUGUCACCCUUGGCUGCUGAUACAGAUUGUAGUGAGUACAGCAUUUUAGAAGAAGUCAUUCCAAGCAUCAGUGACUAUGACACAGAUAAAAUGGAUGACAGUGAUCAAUGUUCACAGGGACCAGGAACCAAAACAAUGGAUAAGCCAGAUUCAUGUCCAGCCAGUGACCAGUCAACUGUUGCAUCUAAGAAGUUGAAAACUAAACCAAAGUCACUGACAUCAACUAAAGGUGAGUUGAGGAGAAGCACACAGGUAAAAUUCUAUUCAAAGAAAACAUCUCCAUCUUCACCACGAAUAAACUCCAAAACAUCGCCAGGAUCCCCAAAGUCUGACUGUAAGAAAUCCCCAAUAUCUCCUGCUCAGUCAGUAAAAUGUGGGAUGGAUGCAAGUGCCAGUGGCGCAAGAACUGAUGUUAAGACGUUGAAAACUACUGCAUCUAAAUUACCAAAGAAAUCUGGAUUGAAGAAAUCACAUACCGAUGUUUCAAAUUCUCGGUCAUUGUUAGCCCUAGAACAGAGAUAUACAGCUGAAAGACUGGAGUUGAUGAGACUUAAGAUACCAGCUGAAAUGGACUUGAGUGAUGUGAGUCGACCUUCGACACGAGAAGGAUCUGUGGAUAGUAGAUUUGAUGAUGACCGAUGGUCAAUAUGUUCAGAUAUAUCCAGUGUGUCAAGAGCAUCUUCAGUUAGUAAAAGUAACAAGACUCAAACCUCAGGUUCCAAUGUUUCAAGAAUUACUAUCCCAAGUUCAAGGAUCAAACCUGCUAGUGCACGACUUCCCUCAAAGGCUCAUACUGCAGUAGGUAAAUCUUCCCAGCUCACAAAACAGCAAAGGCUGAAAGGAAAAAGUGCAGCAGAUACCUGUAGUUCAAGUGAAACAGUCAAAAACAAAGUUGGAAGUAACCAUAAAAGCCCUACCGUGCAAAACCUACAGAGAAAUAAAUAUACCAAAUAUGACAGAACACCUUUAAAUUCUGAAGUGACAGAAAACAGUAGGAUGCACAUAGAUUUGGUCCCCUGUCAUUCAGCAGCUGAAAAUCUAGGUAAUGGCAGUACGCUUGAAAUGAACUUACCUGACAGUGUAAAUGAAUUUGGAUACAGCAGUUUACUUGAAGAUGAAAGUUCGGUCUCAGUUAAGGCCAGUGUGCCUUUAAUUGUAGAUAGCUGUGAGUCUCAUGGUGAGAACACUAAUGUUGGAAGUGGUGCUUUAAAAACUAGUAAUGAUACAGAGGAAAUUAUGAGUGACAGUACUUUUCCAGCUGACUCAAAACAAGACCGUUUUUCAGAGCACGUUAAUGUAAACCACACAGCUAACAUUAGUAAACACAGGUUCCAUUCACAGAAAGAAACUGAUACCAAUAGGAAUGCAGAAGUUGAAAAUGAGGGUCAACAUGGAGCCCUAUCUCCUUCCUACCAGAUGAAAACAAGCGUUGUAAAUGAGGGGCAAGAAGAGUUCCCUGUGGCACAUAUGAGAACUGAGGAAAAUUUGAAAUACAUCUCACUUGCAUCCACAUUGUCAGAUAGACAGAUGUCAAAAGAUUCAGAUGGGUCAAUUGAAGCACCUUCAGAAAUGGUAAACCUGAGCUGCUAUCAGGCGGAUAGUUUAUUGUCUGAGAUGACAGGAGAGGGGGAAUAUCUAUCAUCUAAGGCAGCUGGUCAAGGGAAACAGGAACCUGAAGUGAGUGGAGAGAUGGCCUUGGCUGUGCAUAGUCAGCUCAUGAAGCCCUGCAGCCUAUCUUCCCAUGUUGAUAGGGCCUCAGUGGAUGGAAGUUUCUCUGAUAACAUAAACAGGCACAACCUGACCUCAGAAAAUACCAAUAAUAAACAUUUACAUCAGAGAGAGGGAGGGCUUGGCUACUUCUUUCCCCACCCAACAAAAUUCAGUUCAACCUCUAAAAUUGUAGAUUCUGUUUUUGAAAAUCCUGACACUGAGACAGCUGCUGUGAUUGAAGUCUCAGAAGAUACAGGUAGCUUCCUUGGGGCGUGUGACGGCAAGCUCUUGAAAUUAUCUCAGGUUAAAGAAAUUAAGGCUGAAGGGAGGGAAGAUAUCAAAAUUGUGGUGCCAAUGGCAGUCCAAGCAACAGAAGAUGCAGGCUUCUCUUUAACCAAGGAAUUCAUGGGGUAUGAUAAAAAUGGAGAGGACUCUGAAAGGCAGUUUGAUAGAAGUGAUAAAAUCUCAAUAAAUAAACUGGUUCAUAUUUCGGGAAACUCUGAUAAACUUGAGCAAGGAUGUACCACAGAGACAGCUGGCUCUUCAGGCUCGCAUAUAGCUUAUGAUUCAUCCAGGGCCCAGGAAAACUUUGAUACUUUCAAACCAGAAACUGAAACUGUGUUAGCUUGUGCUUUACAAGGAAGGGAUGGUAGGGUGAUCAGAGACACGGGAUCCCCCAGUUCACACAGAUUGGGGAAAGUGCAAGGCACGGCAGGAGAUGUAGUGCGAUCAAGUUUCAAUUCCGAACAUCUAGACUGGAGUCGUGAGGGACAGAAUUCAGGAGACAUUUCAACAAGCCUCAGACUGAAGGAGGAGGCGGCAGAAGCACUGGGUGGAUGGAGGGAGUGUGACAGUGAUAACCGGGAUUGGAUUGAUUAUGAUUCAUUAAGUGAAGGUAAGACUGGAUUUAUUGAUGAAUCUCCACCCAGAUUAGACUUGGUUGAUGACAAACAAAGUUGGCAUGUGGUGGAAAAUAUGGAAUCGUGUGAGAUGUCUGACCUAGGAUUCCAAGUUAUCGGUCGCCAUGAUGACAUGGAAUUAGCAAGCCAUAUUGAUGCUAUUUCCCCAGACACUCUUAACAAGGCUGACAAAUAUCCUGAUGAAACUCAUGGCACUGUCCUCUUGUAUGGAGAAAAGCAUUAUAGUCAAGUACAAGAAAACACCCCCAAUCCUGUACCCAUGUCACCUGACACAACACACAACAUCACAGGAUCACAAUCCUCCAAGGUUAUGUCAGCUACCCAAGGGGGUACAAAAUCUGCAGGAUUUGAGAUUGAAGUAAACUAUAAUGUCAGCACUGACCCACUUUGCAUGGAUGGAAAUAAACCUGAUAAGAGUUCCACUAAGAAAUGUGAUAGCCAAACCUGGGGUAGAAUGUGGAGUGCAAGAAGUGAUAAGCUUUCAGCAAGACUUCCUGGAAGAAGACUUGUCAUAGAUAAGAGAAAUUUGCACCCUGAAGGCUAUAAUGAAAACAUGCCUAUACAGAGAAGAAUUGUGUUAAACCCAGACUCCAAAGUUGAGACGAGGGAUCCCAAAUCAACUGGAUUGCCUGAACCUGUAACCCAGAACCACCCUCCUGAUAUUGGACUACAGUUGACUGUGUCAAGGGCUGAUGGGGAAAGUAUCAGCAAACCCACUAACAGACUACACACUUAUAAACCUGUCCACAAAUCUGAACUUUUGAAACAAAGCUCAGUAAGAAAAAGUUUAGCAGCUCGAGCUCAGCAGAAAGCCAUUACUUCAAGAUUUUCUCAAGACUCUGUGAAUAAAGUUAAAACAGGUAAUGUUUUGAUGAAAAAGGCUCUGCAAUCAGUGAGUGAUAAGACAGCCCCUGAAGACCACACCUCUACAGUGCCACAUGUGAGCUCCAUUGAAUUCAUGGUGAAAAAAGAUUGCCAAGCUCAGCCAAUGCUUCCUGUCAAGCAUGACAAGUCUGAGACAUUUAGUACCAAAUCUGAAGAAGAUAUUAAUGCAAGCGAUUGUGAAGUAACAAAUAUCACAAAUGAUGUGUGUUCUUCAAAGGACAGUGACAGUAUAAAUGAUGCCAAAGAAAUUGGAUUAAAUGCAGAAGAAGAUGUUAUUAUUGAGAGUAAAGACAAUGAUGGAAUCUUUGAAGCAGUGGUAGAGAGGAAGCAGGAAAGUGCUGUGACUGUUUCAGCCAGGUUACUAACAGCAGACGACAGUUUGCAGGUAGCAGACAACUCAUUACCCCUGGAAGCUAACGACAACACAUCACAAGCAGACGCCAUUGUGGAUAAGGCAGCUGUGCCUCUUAGACCAGACACAAUUUUCUCAUUGAUGGCAGAUGGCUGUUUGCAAACUGAAGAAGUUUGUACCCCUCUGAUGGAAAACAGCAAAUCUGCAAAAUCUGCACCACCAGUUGUAUCACCAAAACCAAAAGUAUCUGUCUCAGCUGAUGGAAAAAUUGACUUGAGCUAUUCUGAUGUGUCUCCAUGUUUUGUUACACCUGAUGAGCAAAUUGAUCCCAAGUCUGUGAUUAUAAUUCAGCAUGCUCAACCUUUUGAGUGUCUAACUACUGUCACAAGUAAUGAAUUUGAAUUUGAACCUCAUUCAAGUGAUGCACAAAAUUCUCCCACAGAGAGCUGCACUGAGCUGCUAGAUGGAGAAACCUCUGUAGUGACUGUCACAGAGAACUGUGUAACCGAAGAUGUCAUUAAUGAGGUACACUUUGUACCAAGCAGGGCUGACUCAGCUAGUACUGAGAGCAAAUUUGAUUACAAAUUGACAGUCAGUCCCUCACAAGCAGACGUGACCUCUACAGCCCCACCCAAGGAAGAAUCAAUAGACUUGUGUAGUGUUGACAAGUCAUCUGAAAUUUCUUCACCUGAGUGUCCGACAACUGAAACAGUGUCACAUGAAGCACUGAAACGAUCCACUGGAACAACAUCAUUACACCACUGGCAGACAGUCAAAAAUAAAUUCCUGAGUAAACCCUCAAAGAAAGUGAGCAAAGAGAAGGUGAACAUUGUACCGUCUGCUCAUGGGAGCGUGGAGAAAACCAUUGAAGAAUAUGAAGAAUGUUUAGACAAGAAGUUAAACACUGACUGGUGUAAAGACAAAACUGACGAAAAGUUUGUUGAAAGCUCACGUGUCUCUGAGAUCCGACGAUCACUCAGUGAAAGGCUGACCAAAUCCCCACUGCCUGAGACCCCACCUGCAACUCCCUCCCCAUCCCCAACCCGGAAAUACAAAUGGAUAAGAGGGGAAGGGGGGAUUUGGAAGAAAAAGUUUCUGUCCGACUCAGGGGAGAGUGGGAGUGAGUUUGAGGAUUCUGCAAGGGAAGAUCAAGAGGAGGUCCUUAUAAAAUUAACACAAGGAAAUAGACAUGAAAGAAAUAUUGACAGAGAAUCUUCAUCUGAAUAUGAAUAUAAACCUGACAAUGAAAUGGAAACAUCGGCAUCAGAAGUUGAAGACCUGGAUAUGAUUGAACAUUCUGUGAAUGUGGACAGAUGGGGGAAGUGUGGAGACAAUGUAGUGAUGGAGAAAUCUGUAGAUGUGGAUGAUAAUGAUGGUGUUUGUGUAGAAAAAGUGGAUUUUGAGACUGCAAGGUCACAUUUUAAUGAAAAACUGGGAGUACCUUGUUUGAGUAGAAGAAAAAGCAGCACUGAAAAUGUGGAAAGGCAAAUGUAUGAUAGACUUCAGAACAAAUCUCUAGCUGUUCCUGAGACAGAUAAAGAUUCUACUUGCCAAAUGAAUGAAAAUAAAUUAUCUGAGUCUAUAUUUGACAAAGUCAACACCUUAGAUGCAGACUGUGGGAAUGUUAAUAUGCAUACUGUUAUUAAUAUGGAUACCACACAUGGACAGGCAUCAAAUAUGGAUCUGAAGUGUGAGAAAAUAGACCCAGAAGUAGACAAAUGCAUGAAAUUGUCUGCUGACAGUAGUGAAAGUGUUUCCUCAGUCACUACUGCAGAUGUUAUAAUGAAAGCUGGUGCUGACAGCAUGGACAAACUGUGUGAGUCCACCUCGGAAGUGUUCCUUUCAGCUACUAGUGAGGACAAGGAGAAACCUUGUGUGGUUAUCAUGGUGCCACAGGACUCAACACUGGAGCAAGCGAGCAUGGAUGUAAACACGGACAUUAGUAUUACUGAUUCUGCUGUGUAUGUUACCAUAGGCGACGAGGAACCUAUGAGCAACCUUGACAACAGAACUUUACUUGAUGGGACUUUCACAGAUCAAGAAGAAAUGCAAAUGCAUACUUGUGUGUAUGAUAAAUUCAGUAUAACUGACUCUGGAUUUAAUGAAGACUCUACCAGCUUAGACUUUCACAGUCACAGAGACACUGCCAGUACUGAGAGUGACAAAUGUAUGAUCGCUGUAAGUGAAGUGAGGGUGUCUGAGUUGAGUGCAGACAUAAUAAGUGAUGCUACAAAUGGAAGUUUAAAGGAUACUUGUGCUGGUGAUAUCUCCCAGAUAGAUUGUCAAGAUGAGCAAUAUGACAGAUCCCACAUGCAAACAAUCAUUGUGUCAGAUGAACAAGUUUCAAGUAAUGUUUCUGACCAUGAAGACCAGCAAGAUGCUAACAAAACUGUCGUCCUGUCUGAGAUUGAGGGAAAGUUUAUUCCCAUAGAGGCGUCCCCCAUUUUGCAAAAAAUGUGUGUGGAGUCAAAUUCUGGUGAAGAGUCUGAGGAUCAGGUUUCACUCUCAGCUGCACCAAGUUCAGAAAACAUCAGCAUUUCCCCAGCUUGUGUCCCCAAGCAAGACAGUGUCAUUGGGGGAGAGGCGGCAGAGCAGCAGCUCUCUGAAACAUGGGACACAGAAUCAGAACACUCUUAUUACUAUGGAUAUGAGAAUACGGAUAAUACAUGUGGGGAUGAAGACUUGGAUACCACAGUGACAGAUGAUGAAACAGAAGACUUAUGUGAGCUUGUUAUUACUGAAGACUUGGACACAACAGUGGUUGGCGUCCAAGGAGAGGAGACAGUGGAUUUACACAUAGAGGAGGACAGCGUUGCUACGCCUGUGUUGGCACCCCCAGGUCACGUUGACAUGGCGUACUCUCCACGUAGAGGGGCUGGACGUAGAUAUUCCUAUGCUGGGUCCACAGUCAACCACAGUGCUGUGUCAGGGUCAAGUCUGCCAGAUGUCUCUGAAAGUGGAUACUGGAACACACGAAAGGCUUUCUGGGAAAAAGACUCAAGGGAGCUCCUGGCAGAGAUCUCAGAACUCGAGGAAAGUUUUGAGGCUGUAGAGGGCACUGAGACGGAACAGCAUCGAAGUGCUUCUGCUAGUCCUGUCAAAGUUGCUGAACAGCCAGGGGGGACAACUCCACGGCGGUUGCAUAGGAAGAAGUCAGGACGUCGUAGUUUGAGUCUUCCAAGUGGGACUUUGUCGUAUGGGGAUGUCAAAAUCACAUAUGUUGAUGGACACUUUGUGGCAGAGCCACCUAGUGCUGAACCAGAGACAAUCCCUCAACCCUACACUGGAAGUGAGAGUGCCACUGUCAGCACCGGAGGUGUACCAGCUACAAGCUCCGAGUCAGUCACUGAUGUGAACAGCAACGAAGACACUCUAUCCAUUCUGUCAGACCUGUCCAUAAGAGAUGAACUGUUGUCCUUGUUAAACCAGCAUUUAGUGGAUAGUGAUGUGUUCUACAAUCAACCGCUGGACUGGAACUGUAACCAUGUGGGGAGUGACUCCUCCUCACAUUCUAGUCAGAGCAGUCUGGCUAUGAUGCCGGCAUCGUCCACAUUACCACGGAGAACCGGUCGUGACAAUGACGGAAAUCGUCCAGUUUCUGUAGAUGAUAUACAGUUAUUUAGAAAUGCAUAUCUACAAGAACAGUGUGAAGGUCAAGGUGACAAUGAAGGUCAAAGUCACACAAGGAACUACAGUUUCCGAGAAGCUGUAAAUCAGGACUUAUUGUUGUCUGAUCCCAGGAAUGGUCGGAGAAGGCUCUCUGUUCAAGACGAUAAAAGUGAGAGAUCAAGAUCAAAAAGUCCAAACUUUUUCCAAAGAAUGUUGUCUAAGCGAAAAUCAUUCUCAGAAAAAGUGGCAAAACUACCUCAAGAUGAGGGAACAUCCAGAAAAGACACUUCGAUAGUAAGACGUAUGUCAUUAAAAAGUUUGUUCAAACGAAAAACACGGAAAGGUUCAGAUGAACCGGACAGUCCGCCAAUUGCAGCUUUCCUUAAAGAUGAAGACAUCGGUGCUAUCAGUUCAUUACCAAACUCUCCAUUUGUGUCAAAACGUGUACAGAGAGUACAAACAGACCCACACAUACAGAUUCGAAGGCCAGUUCAAAGAUGUCCUGAUGAAUCUCAGUCAAGCAUGAAAUCACCACCCCUCAGCCAAUCAAUCACCAGGAGUGGCUCCAGGCCUGGUCUAACUCGACCAGACGUUCCACCCAGGCGAAGACAGAGCUCUUCGGGCUCCAUGAAGCAAGGUUCAUUACCAGAUAGGAGUUCUGGAGAAUACAGUAUAUGUGAGUUUGACAUAGGAGCAGAUGAUACACUUACACCACGAUCUUCGUCUCCGUCCAUAGUUGACAGUGAGCGGGACGCCACACUCCCUGCAUCUCCACAUUCUGGGGACUUUGUCCAAUCUGUUGCGGUGCAUCCAAAUAGGUUGAAUCCUCGGCGUGAUCAGAUGUCCCCCCCAGGAAUUUGAAAAACUGUCAGGAAAACUUGUACGAGGGGAGAUAACUUCAAGCAACAGCAAUGACAGUGGAAUACAACAUGAUGCUGUUAUAUUGUCCAGCUGUGAAUCCCUCAAGGUAUCCCCCGACACGGCCACGCCCAUCAACAUGCCAGUGAAGCUGAGGAAAACACCUUCACCGAAGCAGGAACGUCCUAAAUCGGACAUCACAGUGCGCUGGGCAGACCUCCUGGAGCAGGUGAGGGAGACCAACGU